AACGAACGCUGGCGGCAUGCCUAACACAUGCAAGUCGAACGAGACCUUCGGGUCUAGUGGCGCACGGGUGCGUAACGCGUGGGAAUCUGCCCUUAGGUUCGGAAUAACUCAGGGAAACUUGAGCUAAUACCGGAUGAUGACUUCGGUCCAAAGAUUUAUCGCCUAAGGAUGAGCCCGCGUAGGAUUAGCUAGUUGGUGAGGUAAAGGCUCACCAAGGCUACGAUCCUUAGCGGUCUGAGAGGAUGAUCAGCCACACUGGGACUGAGACACGGCCCAGACUCCUACGGGAGGCAGCAGUGGGGAAGUAUUGGACAAUGGGCGAAAGCCUGAUCCAGCAAUGCCGCGUGAGUGAUGAAGGCCUUAGGGUUGUAAAGCUCUUUUACCCGGG
This 388-nucleotide ribosomal RNA is filed under the name uncultured bacterium. RNAcentral's name for it is "bacterial SSU rRNA". It matches the Rfam family "Bacterial small subunit ribosomal RNA", at positions 29 to 444 of the family's 1533-position model. The record is from RNAcentral.